UAACGGGGCGGUCCUCUAUGAGGCCCGUCAUUGUAUUGAGUAAAACUCAAAAUAUUUAACGAAACCAAUUGGAGGGCAAGUCUGGUGCCAGCAGCCGCGGUAAUUCCAGCUCCAAAAGCAUAUAUUAAAGUUGUUGCGGUUAAAAAGCUCGUAGUUGGAUCCAUGACCUCGGAGGGCGGUCCCCCACUGGGUGCGUACUGCUGCUCCGAGUCCUAUCUGUCAGUUUGUCUGUGUUGCCUUUAAUCGGGUGGCACAGGUGACUGACGUGUUUACUUUGAAAAAAUUAGAGUGUUUAAAGCAGGCGUUGAAUGCCUAAAUAGUGGUGCAUGGAAUAAUGGAAUAGGAUCUCGGUUCUAUUUUGUUGGUUCAAGAGCAUGAGAAAAUGAUUAAGAGGGACAGACGGGGGCAUUUGUAUUGCUGCGUUAGAGGUGAAAUUCUUGGAUCGUAGCAAGACAAACUACUGCGAAGGCAUUUGCCAAGAAUGUUUUCAUUAAUCAAGAACGAAAGUUAGAGGUUCGAAGGCGAUCAGAUACCGCCCUAGUUCUAACCGUAAACCAUGUCGACUAGCUAUCUGUCAGCGUUAAUAAUGACCUGACAGGCAGCUUACCGGAAACGAAAGUUUCUCGAUUCCGGGGGUAGUAUGGUUGCAAAGCUGAAACUUAAAGGAAUUGACGGAAGGGCACCACCAGGAGUGGAGCCUGCGGCUUAAUUUGACCCAACACGGGAAAACUCACCCGGCCCGGACACCGUAAGGAUUGACAGAUUAAUAGCUCUUUCUCGAUUUGGUGAUUGGUGGUGCAUGGCCGUUCUUAGUUGGUGGAGCGAUUUGUCUGGUUAAUUCCGAUAACGAACGAGAUUCUAACUUACUAACUAGUUCCACGAUCCUUGUGGUCCUAAAUACUUCUUAGAGGGAAAACCGGCAUUUAGUCGAACGAGAUUGAGCAAUAACAGGUCUGUGAUGCCCUUAGAUGUCCGGGGCUGCACGCGUGCUACACUGAAGGAAUCAGCGUGUUUUUCCCUUGCCUGUAAUGGCUGGGUAACCGACUGAAUCUCCUUCGUGUUAGGGAUAGAUCAUUGAAACUAGUGAUCUUCAACUUGGAAUUCCUGGUACGUUUGAGUCAUAAGCUCAAGCAGAUUACGUCCCUGCCCUUUGUACACACCGCCCGUCGCUACUACCGACUGGCAAUAUCUUUGAGACACUUGGAGCGGCCGUGAGCUACCCUAACCGGUAACUCACGGCUGCGAAAAGGUU
Molecule: ribosomal RNA, 1252 nt
Filed under: metagenome
Description: SSU rRNA
Rfam family: Eukaryotic small subunit ribosomal RNA
Source: RNAcentral